CCUACGGGAGGCAGCAGUAGGGAAUUUUGCGCAAUGGGCGAAAGCCUGACGCAGCAACGCCGCGUGAUCGAGACGCCCUUCGGGGUGUAAAGAUCUGUCAGUGGGGACGAAACUUGACGGUACCCACAGAGGAAGCACCGGCUAACUCCGUGCCAGCAGCCGCGGUAAUACGGGGGGUGCAAGCGUUGUCCGGAAUCAUUGGGCGUAAAGAGUUCGUAGGCGGCACGUAAAGUCUGGUGUUAAAGGCAGAGGCUCAACUUCUGUACCGCACUGGAUACUUGCGAGCUAGAAUGCGGGAGAGGGAAAAGGAAUUGCUGGGGUAGCGGUGAAAUGCUUUGAUAUAAGGAGGAACAGUGGGGGCGGAAGCGGCUUACUGGGCCGUAAUUGACGCUGAGGAACGAAAGCCAGGGUAGCAAAUGGGAUUAGAUACCCUAGUAGUC
This 440-nucleotide ribosomal RNA is filed under the name uncultured bacterium. Its description in RNAcentral is "partial 16S ribosomal RNA". It matches the Rfam family "Bacterial small subunit ribosomal RNA", at positions 338 to 795 of the family's 1533-position model. The record is from RNAcentral.